This is a non-coding RNA of Pelobates cultripes (western spadefoot toad), 214 nucleotides long. Lineage: Eukaryota; Metazoa; Chordata; Amphibia; Anura; Pelobatidae. The record is from the annotation of a GenBank genome assembly.
AAUAACGCUGAUCUUUCAUCAAUAUGAAUUGGUAUGAUGGAAGUGCACUGUCAUAGUACCAUGGAAAUCUAGGUUGAAAAAUGCAUUAUAACCAUUACAAUUAACAUUCCACGCACCCUAGUUGCUUCUGAACAGGCUUAGAGGGGCAAUGUGCUUACCAUAACAUCAGAUAACUGAGGACACAGAAAAUCUAAUGUCAUAGCUUUUAGUAAAU